GACGAACGCUGGCGGCGUGCUUAACACAUGCAAGUCGAGCGGUAAGGCCCUUUCGGGGGUACGACGAGCGGCGAACGGGUGAGUAACACGUGGGUGACCUGCCCUCAGCUCUGGGAUAAGCCUGGGAAACCGGGUCUAAUACUGGAUAUGACUCCAUGACGCAUGUUGUGGGGUGGAAAGCCUUGUGCGGCUGAGGAUGGGCCCGCGGCCUAUCAGCAUGUUGGUGGGGNGAUGGCCUACCAAGGCGACGACGGGUAGCCGGCCUGAGAGGGCGACCGGCCACACUGGGACUGAGACACGGCCCAGACUCCUACGGGAGGCAGCAGUGGGGAAUCUUGCGCAAUGGGCGAAAGCCUGACGCAGCGACGCCGCGUGAGGGAUGACGGCCUGGUGUAAC
This 397-nucleotide ribosomal RNA is filed under the name uncultured bacterium. Its description in RNAcentral is "bacterial SSU rRNA". It matches the Rfam family "Bacterial small subunit ribosomal RNA", at positions 28 to 429 of the family's 1533-position model. The record is from RNAcentral.